This is a small nucleolar RNA of Zostera marina, 114 nucleotides long. It matches the Rfam family "Small nucleolar RNA Z278". Rfam says of the family: snoZ278 is a C/D box small nucleolar RNA. Its methylation guide targets have not been reported. The record is from Rfam. NCBI's taxonomy places the organism in Eukaryota, Viridiplantae, Streptophyta, Magnoliopsida, Alismatales, Zosteraceae.
UUCUUUGAUGAUAUAUCCAAUUGGUUUAGUUGUAGGUUACUUCAGGCCCCUGUUCUGCAGGGAGAACCUCCUGCAGUUCCUUCAUUCAUAUGACAUUUCUGGAUCUUCUGAGAA